AUGAGGACUAAACAGGCUGAUAUACCACGAGCCAGUACCAAGGCACCCCAGAAGCAAGCACGACCUCAUGCACCUCGCGUCCAGCCUUUUUACAAUCCAGGAGAGAAUGAAAGUGAUGUGCCUGUAGCAAGAGAAAUGGAAGAAACAAGAGUAGUAGGACAUGCUACAGUAAAACUGAAGGAGCUGAGCCUGCAGCCCUGUGAAGCUAAGACUGUGAGAAAAAUGAACACUCUUCAGCGUAAGACAAGUAACAGAGACAUCUUUUCUGCAGCCAGGAAAAGUGACAGUCAUCAACAGCAAUGUGGAGGAACGUCUCCUGGUGACUCUCAGGAACUUCAGCAGCCAAUAGUCCAGGUGUGCCCUGCCCAGAAAGAUGUACCUCAGCCUUCAGGUGGUUACAACAAGGAAAGAGAGGAGCUGGAUACAAUGCCCAAACCUCAGAAUGACGUCAGGGAGCAGAUUGUCACAGGAGCAGUGGUAGAAGUGUAAUAGAAGUCAUGUCAAGUGGUGGACUACUGACAAAGCAAGCUUUGCCUGGCUUGCAGUCAAAGCGAAGUUGAGGUUUUUGUCUCCACGGUCAGAGAAACACCCAUAUUAGCACAGGGAAACAAACUGUUGUGCUGUGCAUGUACAACUAAACUUGUGACCUGGUUCUGCAGCCAACAGGGAGAUUUUGGCCACGUCUAUGCUACUAAACUGUCUUAGCUUCCAAAACAAGCAGGUGCGACCAUGCAGCAUGUUGAGAACAGUCCUUGGCUUCUGAUACCUCUAUUAACUCUCUCUAAGACUUGCUGGGAGGAGUGCUAACUGGGUCUGGCCAAAAGCUUUCAGGGAUUAAUUAGCCAAGCAAUUCAACUGUAGAUAGUGGAGUGUCUGCCUGUACCCUGACCCUAUUUAAUAUACUGACACCAAUGUAGUCUUAGAGACAAGAGCAAUGCUGAUUGGUAUUUGUGUGCGUGUACAUAUACAUACAUACAUACAUAUAUAUAUAUAUAUAAGAAUUUCCCCAUUUCUUCCCAUCUUCCCUUUCAAAGAUCUUCAGUAUGUGUGUAAACCUUUUCCUUUUCCUGAGCAAAACCAAAUAAACAUGUAUUCAACUUCCAUUUCAUGAGCAAGUGCUUUCAUGCUUCCCUAGUUAAAUCUGUGCUUAAGAAUAUUUGUUUUGUUUUGUUUUGAAAUAAAAAGUGUUUUGCUGAGUUAGACCUCCACCAUAUCAUUGUUUUCUAAUACCUUUAAAUCACCAGCUUGUUAUGAGCACUACUGUUUAUGAGUGAUAAUAACAAUACCGAUGUACUUCAGCUGUUCAGAGGAUUCCUCCCUGCUUUGCUUAGCUGAGCUGGAAGAUGAGGAACUGUAUUAUACCCUCUCUGUACCAUAAACUUCUUGGUUACAAGGUGCCCCAGUGGCACAAGAUAAAUUUUAUACUCCUGUGCAGGAAAAGUACUGAUGUAGGAAGAUUAAGUUUCUGGCCAAAUCAGCUGUGGAAGAGAAGGUGAGAAACCUUGAUUUGAAAACAAACCAGGCUUCAAGCUGAAGGAGCUAAGAUGCCAGUGCUGGUUGGUGAGCUACUCAGUUCUCUAGGCAGAAAUUUGUCAUUCCAGACUGUAAGCCACGAGAGCCCUAAUGUGUGUAGCAAUUAUCAUCCUGGCCAUUGUAGAAAGUGUCAUUGGCUUCCAAAGUUGUAAAGUAUGUACAUGCACCCUGGGCCUGAGCUGGAGUGAAGCUGUAGAUAAGCCUGUUGCUUAUGUUGUGAACAGUGUGCAGAAAUUUAAUGAGAAAACAGAUUAAAUCUAUGGUGAUAUAGAAAACAGUCUGGCUCCUGUUAUCUGACCCUGCUAUGAUAUAACUUCAUUUAUACUCAUUGAGGAUGCUCUUCACUCAUACAAACUCCCAAGCCAUGCACUAUCUGGGCUUUCUGUGGGUAAGAUCCAGUUGGAUCAGGCUGGAUAAUGAAAGAAUAGUGCUUUAUCCCUGAUUCUCAUCAUCUUUAGUCCAUUCAUGCAAGUACAGCCAUAAUGACCAAUGCACUUGUAUGAUCCCAUCCACACUUCCCAGAUAAUGUAAGUGAAUCCUGUAUGAGAAGUACAGGAUUUAAAAUCCUGCUAAAAUGAUGUCUCCUCUUCUGCCUCUGUAUCUGGAAAGGCUACGUAUCUGCUGUGUUGCCAAGAAGUGGGAUCUGGUUGUUAGCUGUUCCCCAUGAAAUAUCACUGGUUGGCAAUAGCCUGCAGUCAUUUUUCUUGUAGGUGCCUGCAUAUAAGAAAUGGUCAGUAUAGGUUAGUUUGAUAUUCUGUGGCUCAAUUACAUGAGGACUUUUUGAUUUAAUUUAUAUUCCUGCUUUAGUAUGAGAUGAUUUUGGCUCCCAGAGAACCUCCAGUUUAUGAUGGAGUUCAGAUAAAGACAUAAAUGACACACACAUCGGUUAGAUGAACCUCAUCCUGCAAGCUCUAGUGGAUGCAGGUCUGAUGUUAGCCAUAAAAGAAUAUAUAAUGCCUUUCUUUC
This 2499-nucleotide long non-coding RNA is filed under the name Anas zonorhyncha (Eastern spot-billed duck). Its description in RNAcentral is "lncRNA (ENSAZOG00000013691.1)". The record is from RNAcentral. Lineage: Eukaryota; Metazoa; Chordata; Aves; Anseriformes; Anatidae.